This 331-nucleotide unclassified non-coding RNA is filed under the name Hevea brasiliensis (rubber tree). The record is from RNAcentral. Lineage: Eukaryota; Viridiplantae; Streptophyta; Magnoliopsida; Malpighiales; Euphorbiaceae.
GGAAUUCCGUAUAGUUCACUGCUUGAUGAUGUGGUUAGAGUGAGCUAUGGCAUCCACUUGAUGCUUGUCUUCCCAAUUGUGUUUUUCUCCCUUCGCCUUAACCUGGAUGGUCUUCUCUUUCCAUAUGCCAUUCCCAUUGCAUAUGACAACAGGAGAUUCUUCUCAAUAACUGCAGCUUUAAUGGCAUUUAUCUUUGUGGGAGCCAAUUUUGUGCCUAACAUCUGGGAUGCUUUCCAGUUUACUGGAGCGACAGCUGCUAUCGCUGUUGGUUUCAUCUUUCCAGCGGCCAUUGCACUAAGGGACACCCACGGAAUUGCAACAAAAAAUGACA